GGGGCUGAUUCUGGAUUCGACGGGAUUCGCGAAACCCAAGGUGCAUGCCGAGGGGCGGUUGGCCUCGUAAAAAGCCGCAAAACAAUAGUCGCAAACGACGAAAACUACGCACUGGCAGCUUAAUAACCUGCACAGAGCCCUCUCUCCCUAGCCUCCGCUCUUAGGACGGGGAUCAAGAGAGGUCAAACCCAAAAGAGAUCGCGUGGAUGCCUUGCCUGGGGUUGAAGCGUUAAAUCCAAUCAGGCUAGUUUGUUAGUGGCGUGUCUGUCCGCAGCUGGCAAGCGAAUGUAAAGACCAG
Molecule: transfer-messenger RNA, 298 nt
Filed under: Xenorhabdus cabanillasii JM26
Lineage: Bacteria; Pseudomonadati; Pseudomonadota; Gammaproteobacteria; Enterobacterales; Morganellaceae
Rfam family: transfer-messenger RNA
About the family: Bacterial tmRNA, also known as 10Sa RNA or SsrA, is named for its dual tRNA and mRNA-like properties.
Source: RNAcentral